GAUGAACGCUGGCGGCGUGCCUAAUACAUGCAAGUCGAGCGAACGGACGAGAAGCUUGCUUCUCUGAUGUUAGCGGCGGACGGGUGAGUAACACGUGGAUAACCUACCUAUAAGACUGGGAUAACUUCGGGAAACCGGAGCUAAUACCGGAUGAUAUUUUGAACCGCAUGGUUCAAAAGUGAAAGACGGUCUUGCUGUCACUUAUAGAUGGAUCCGCGCUGCAUUAGCUAGUUGGUAAGGUAACGGCUUACCAAGGCAACGAUGCAUAGCCGACCUGAGAGGGUGAUCGGCCACACUGGAACUGAGACACGGUCCAGACUCCUACGGGAGGCAGCAGUAGGGAAUCUUCCGCAAUGGGCGAAAGCCUGACGGAGCAACGCCGCGUGAGUGAUGAAGGUCUUCGGAUCGUAAAACUCUGUUAUUAGGGAAGAACAUAUGUGUAAGUAACUGUGCACAUCUUGACGGUACCUAAUCAGAAAGCCACGGCUAACUACGUGCCAGCAGCCGCGGUAAUACGUAGGUGGCAAGCGUUAUCCGGAAUUAUUGGGCGUAAAGCGCGCGUAGGCGGUUUUUUAAGUCUGAUGUGAAAGCCCACGGCUCAACCGUGGAGGGUCAUUGGAAACUGGAAAACUUGAGUGCAGAAGAGGAAAGUGGAAUUCCAUGUGUAGCGGUGAAAUGCGCAGAGAUAUGGAGGAACACCAGUGGCGAAGGCGACUUUCUGGUCUGUAACUGACGCUGAUGUGCGAAAGCGUGGGGAUCAAACAGGAUUAGAUACCCUGGUAGUCCACGCCGUAAACGAUGAGUGCUAAGUGUUAGGGGGUUUCCGCCCCUUAGUGCUGCAGCUAACGCAUUAAGCACUCCGCCUGGGGAGUACGACCGCAAGGUUGAAACUCAAAGGAAUUGACGGGGACCCGCACAAGCGGUGGAGCAUGUGGUUUAAUUCGAAGCAACGCGAAGAACCUUACCAAAUCUUGACAUCCUUUGACAACUCUAGAGAUAGAGCCUUCCCCUUCGGGGGACAAAGUGACAGGUGGUGCAUGGUUGUUGUCAGCUCGUGUCGUGAGAUGUUGGGUUAAGUCCCGCAACGAGCGCAACCCUUAAGCUUAGUUGCCAUCAUUAAGUUGGGCACUCUAAGUUGACUGCCGGUGACAAACCGGAGGAAGGUGGGGAUGACGUCAAAUCAUCAUGCCCCUUAUGAUUUGGGCUACACACGUGCUACAAUGGACAAUACAAAGGGCAGCGAAACCGCGAGGUCAGGCAAAUCCCAUAAAGUUGUUCUCAGUUCGGAUUGUAGUCUGCAACUCGACUACAUGAAGCUGGAAUCGCUAGUAAUCGUAGAUCAGCAUGCUACGGUGAAUACGUUCCCGGGUCU
RNAcentral lists this ribosomal RNA (1372 nucleotides) under uncultured bacterium. RNAcentral describes it as "bacterial SSU rRNA". It matches the Rfam family "Bacterial small subunit ribosomal RNA", at positions 28 to 1381 of the family's 1533-position model. The record is from RNAcentral.